RNAcentral lists this ribosomal RNA (325 nucleotides) under uncultured eukaryote. RNAcentral describes it as "partial 18S ribosomal RNA". It matches the Rfam family "Eukaryotic small subunit ribosomal RNA", at positions 1470 to 1796 of the family's 1831-position model. The record is from RNAcentral.
CCCUUAGAUGUCCUGGGCCGCACGCGCGCUACACUGAUGCAUUCAACGAGUUUUACCUUGGCCGAGAGGCCUGGGCAAUCUUUUAAACCUGCAUCGUGAUAGGGAUAGAUUAUUGCAAUUAUUUAUCUUGAACGAGGAAUUCCUAGUAAACGCAAAUCAUCAAUUUGCAUUGAUUACGUCCCUGCCCUUUGUACACACCGCCCGUCGCACCUACCGAUUGAAUGGUCCGGUGAAGCCUCGGGAUUGUGGCCAGUUCACUUUAUUGGGAGUUGGCUGUGAGAACUUGUCUAAACCUUAUCAUUUAGAGGAAGGUGAAGUCGUAACA